GCGGAAACUUAAUCCAAAUUUGUCGGACAUCUCAUUCUGUGCUGGAAACACUGGGAGGCAGGAAGUUUGAAAAAACGGCCACUGCCGCCCGCAAUGUCUCGGUCGUGGGCUGGUCGUGGGUUCGUUAUGCCAGUUGUGCGUCAUUCUAAGCCGUUCUGUACAUUUAUACUGGAUAUUAAUUGGAGUCAUUUAGCUGUGCUGAUGCUGUUUGCCGUGUGUUUUGCAUCAGUGCUUCGUGACAUCGGCUGUAUUGCGUGUUUUCGCCGACGGCUUACUACCACAAUGGCGGGAUCUGCGUUCGCCGCCUUCGUGUCUCGGUGCGUCUUUGUACGUCGCACGUUCGGAUAACACUUUUUGCGACUGCUGGACAUCCUUCUUGUACCUUGGCGCUAGCUGGAUGACGGGACCUCAUCAUGAUCAGUGUAUUGCUUGCCUAUGUCUACAAGAACCGUCACGCGUGGCCUGUGACAGCAAGCUUUUGUGGGCAGCAAGUGCUCUCCUACGAAGGCUGGCCUACUCUGGCAGCGGCGGCAAUCAUCUUCAAGAUUUAUCCAUAAUCACCUUUGCUGCUUUUUGUCACUCUUGUUGAUUACACUUUCUGCGUCUUUUCUAAUUUAUUAGGUAAUAAAGUAUGAGUAUGUGA
This is a non-coding RNA of Dermacentor andersoni, 643 nucleotides long. Lineage: Eukaryota; Metazoa; Arthropoda; Arachnida; Ixodida; Ixodidae. The record is from RefSeq and is a predicted model, not a curated record.